RNAcentral lists this ribosomal RNA (431 nucleotides) under Conus pennaceus. RNAcentral describes it as "partial 12S ribosomal RNA". It matches the Rfam family "Microsporidia small subunit ribosomal RNA", at positions 648 to 1215 of the family's 1311-position model. Lineage: Eukaryota; Metazoa; Mollusca; Gastropoda; Neogastropoda; Conidae. The record is from RNAcentral.
CCCUCAAACUGGGAUUAGAUACCCCACUAUUUUUAGUUGUAAAUUUAGUUUAAGCUUACCAGAGUACUACGAAUAAAAAAGUUUAAAACUCAAAGGGCUUGGCGGUGUUUUAGACCUCUCAGGGGAACCUGUCUCGUAAUCGACAGUCCGCGUUAAACCUAACCUUUUAUAGCAAUACAGCUUGUAUACCGUCGUCGUCAGGUAACUUCUUAAAAUAUAGUAGUUAGCCCGAGAAUCAAGUUAAUUAGGACGUCAGAUCAAGGUGCAGCCAAUAAAGAGGUGAGGAUGGGUUACAAUUACAUAUUUGUAAAUACGGAAAAUAUUUGAAAUAUAGUAUCAUAAAGGAGGACUUGAAAGUAAUUUUAGUUAUAUGGAUAAAAUGAAUAUGGCUCUGAAACGUGCACACACCGCCCGUCACCCUCUGCAGUCAA